This is a long non-coding RNA of Monodelphis domestica (gray short-tailed opossum), 959 nucleotides long. RefSeq lists it as uncharacterized. The record is from RefSeq and is a predicted model, not a curated record. NCBI's taxonomy places the organism in Eukaryota, Metazoa, Chordata, Mammalia, Didelphimorphia, Didelphidae.
ACAGAAUUCUGGGAAAGGUUUGGAGGUAGCUGUGAUUUCUAUCUUUCUACAGGUUUUCUGGCCCUUUUUGAGAUACCAAAUUAAGAGGAGAAAAACUGUUUGAACUGGCAGCUGGCAGUUAGAAGGAAGACCAAAGAAGAAUCAUCAAUUCACACUGGACCUACUUUGGACUUUACCUCUGGGAUCUUGGCACAUUUACUGGACUCUUUGUUGUGAGAAUGUAAAGGUUUAAAAAAAAGAAAAUGGAGAAAAUGAGGAUUAUUGAAGAGACAAUGUGUUGAAGAAGAUAAUAUCAAAAAGGAAAAGUACCAUUUCUUCAUUUGAGAAAGGAAUGAAGAAAGAUAUAGGUGAUACAAGCAUCUAGAACAUAUGAAAUGAAGAGGAAAAGAAAAGAGAAAGCUUUAGAAUGGAUACCAAGUGCUAAUAUUGGAUGAUGAUUUGAGACACAGCUAUCUAGAUUUCUCUAUAUUGUUAAUAAAAGAGAGUAUGACAUGGCCCCCUAUCUAGCACCUCAAUUUCUGUAAAAUACUAUAUACUAAAAUUAAAAAAAAAGAUUAAAACCUGUUUACUUAUGGUUGUAAGUAUAAUUCAAUAUAAAGAAAAAUUAGAAGUACUACAAAUAUGUUAGUUCAAAUUAAAUAAAUCAUUAACUUUGCUAGCAAUGCAUGUUUUUUCUUAACUCUCAAUUCUGGAAAUCUCUUUUUAUAUGAUUAUGUGAACUUUAAUGUGGCUCAUUUUACAGAAGGACAAUACUAUCCAAGGAUGUUUUAACUUUAUGUAUCAUUUUCCCCCAUGCCGCUACAUUUCACUCCUUCCCAGGUUAAAAAAAUUAUAAACAUCCUUGCUGACUAAAAUUCUGAAGAGUAAGCAUGUUAAAAGUUAGGAACACAUUGCACUGUAUUUGUCUCAGUCUACUAGUCCUAUGAAUUGCUUUUAUUAGUAUUGUCUGUUACACAGAG